Molecule: long non-coding RNA, 1470 nt
Filed under: Zonotrichia albicollis (white-throated sparrow)
Lineage: Eukaryota; Metazoa; Chordata; Aves; Passeriformes; Passerellidae
Description: lncRNA (ENSZALG00000016142.1)
Source: RNAcentral
CGCCGCCCUCUGCCCACGGCAGGCGGGGAGCGGAGCCGGCACGGGGCCGGGGAGGGAGGGGUGCGGGGUUCCGAGCAUCCUCAGAGCUCGCCCUGCGGGGAGAAGGAGCAGUACUGGAUUCUCCGAUGCUGCCGGAAGAAGAGGGGUGGCCGGUGUCGCCCCGCUGUCCGUCUCUCACCGGGCAUUUGGGACGAUCUUGCUCCCCUCCACCCGUAGCACACGAGCCGGAUCAGCCCCCUGCCCAGUGCUCCAGAGCCCCCGUCGGUGGCAGCAGCCCCGGUCUCCUUUCUUGCGGUGCCGCGAGUUGUGUUAUCGGGCACACGGGAGUGCGUUCGAGAGUUGUGAACGUUUUUCUCCCGCCCCUGCUGUCGGACGCUGGCCGAGAGGGGCCGGGACGGGGCGGGAGGGUUCGGCACCAGCUUGGGCACCUCCGCCUUAUCCUGGCUCUCGGCGGCACACGGAGCCGCGGUCGUUCAGCAGUCCGGAGGACUUGAAAGCUAGCGGCGAGGGGGCUGCCCUUUCUACGACUCGGUGCCUUGUCGGGACAGGGGCAGCCCCCUCGCCGCCCCGCCUGGCCGCCCGGGGCUCCGGCAAGCAGCACCUGCCGGAGAGAGACGCGGGCAGGAGCUGCCGGCGUCGCCGCAAAAUGACAGAGCGGCCAAGAGUCUCCCGUUCAGCGCGGCGUGGCCCCGCCACCCUCACCGUGGCCGCACUGCUCUCGCCUCUCCGGGUUUCCAGGCGGCGACAGCACGACGCUGCUCCGGACAGAAGGAGGGAGGGAGGAAGGGCCGGAGGGGCCGAUGACUCCGGCUUUCCUUGCGGGGCAGGCUGCGAGCUCGAUGGGCCGGAGGGAGCGGGCACCUUCCCGGCGCGGCCCCGCUCGGCAGCGCCCGUGCCGCUUCUGCCUGCGGGCGGAGUUUGCCCCGGCUGCUUUAUAGUUAGCAGCCGACGGUACCAGUGACUCAGUUUUCCACUCGGUUAAAUCCCGUGGAAGGUACAGGUGGUUUGGUUCGUUCGCGGGUGUGCGUGCGGCACGGGGCCGUUGCGAAUGAGAAACCGGCGCCAGCUCUUUUGUACGCCGACAUCCGCCAUCUCCGCAAUUAUAUUUGGUGGCACGUCGGGUGUUUGCCCUUUCAUGUGGAUGUUGCUACUAUGUAAAGGAACAGCGGGAUUUCAUGCCUCAUUGCCCUACCGGGACAUCCUUUUCAUGCCCGUAUUUGCAGAGUUACUAAAAGCUCCGCGGCUGCUCACUCACAACAGAAGAGAGCGUCCGCCGGAAUGGCGAAGACAGCUCCAGGGAACUUGGGACGCAUUCCCCACAAUGGCCCCUUUGAUGGGAUCUGAACAAAAAACCAAACCAAACCAAAAUACAAACCUCCCCCUUAAAAAAAAAAAAAAAAAAAAAAAAAAAAAAAAAAAAAAAAAAAAAAAAACAACCAAACCCACGAAAUAAAUCCCCACGAACAAACA